GAUGAAGAACGUAGCGAAAUGCGAUAAGUAAUGUGAAUUCAGAAUUCAGUGAAUCAUCGAAUCUUUGAACGCACCUUGCGCCCUUUGGCUAUUCCGAAGGGCAUGCCUGUUUGAGUAUCGUGAACACCUCAACUCUCAUGGUUUGCCAUGAUGAGCUUGGACUUUGGGGGUUUUGCUGGCCUUUGGUCGGCUCCUCUCAAACGGAUCAGCUUUCCAGUGUUUGGUGGCGUCACGGGUGUGAUAACUAUCUACGCCUGUGGUUUUCUGCCAGAUAACCUUCAGCGAUGGAGGUUCGCUGGGGCUCAUAAAUGUCUCUCUUCAGUGGAGACAGCUUUUUGGACGUUUGAUCUCAAAUCAGGUAGGACUACCCGCUGAACUUAAGCAUAUCAAUAAGCGGAGGA
RNAcentral lists this unclassified non-coding RNA (401 nucleotides) under soil metagenome. Its description in RNAcentral is "partial contains 5.8S ribosomal RNA, internal transcribed spacer 2, and large subunit ribosomal RNA". The stretch from base 1 to 120 matches the Rfam family "5.8S ribosomal RNA", at positions 35 to 154 of the family's 154-position model. The record is from RNAcentral.